UCUCUGGUAGUAUAUCGGAUAGUACAUCCGCCUGUCAAGCAAAUACGGUAACGCGGAAGAGCGGGGUUCGACUCCCCGCCAGAGAG
Paxillus rubicundulus Ve08.2h10 is the source of this 86-nucleotide non-coding RNA. The record is from Rfam. Lineage: Eukaryota; Fungi; Basidiomycota; Agaricomycetes; Boletales; Paxillaceae.